CUCCUCUGAUUCAGCGGCGGACGGGUGAGUAACACGUGGGCAACCUGCCUGUAAGACUGGGAUAACUUCGGGAAACCGGAGCUAAUACCGGAUAACUCAUGAGACCUCAUGGUCUUAUGAUAAAAGAUGGUUUCGGCUAUCACUUACAGAUGGGCCCGCGGCGCAUUAGCUAGUUGGUGAGGUAACGGCUCACCAAGGCGACGAUGCGUAGCCGACCUGAGAGGGUGAUCGGCCGCACUGGGACUGAGACACGGCCCAGACUCCUACGGGAGGCAGCAGUAGGGAAUCUUCCGCAAUGGACGAAAGUCUGACGGAGCAACGCCGCGUGAGCGAUGAAGGCCUUCGGGUCGUAAAGCUCUGUUGUUAGGGAAGAACAAGUAUCAGUUAACUGCUGGUACCUUGACGGUACCUAACGAGAAAGCCACGGCUAACUACGUGCCAGCAGCCGCGGUAAUACGUAGGUGGCAAGCGUUGUCCGGAUUUAUUGGGCGUAAAGCGCGCACAGGCGGUUCUUUAAGUCUGAUGUGAAAGCCCCCGGCUCAACCGGGGAGGGUCAUUGGAAACUGGGGAACUUGAGUGCAGAAGAGAAGAGCGGAAUUCCACGUGUAGCGGUGAAAUGCGUAGAGAUGUGGAGGAACACCAGUGGCGAAGGCGGCUCUUUGGUCUGUAACUGACGCUGAGGCGCGAAAGCGUGGGGAGCAAACAGGAUUAGAUACCCUGGUAGUCCACGCCGUAAACGAUGAGUGCUAAGUGUUGGAGGGUUUCCGCCCUUCAGUGCUGCAGCUAACGCAUUAAGCACU
This 800-nucleotide ribosomal RNA is filed under the name uncultured bacterium. RNAcentral's name for it is "bacterial SSU rRNA". It matches the Rfam family "Bacterial small subunit ribosomal RNA", at positions 82 to 868 of the family's 1533-position model. The record is from RNAcentral.